AGCUCCGAGGUGUUUUAACAUAUUAGAUUGCAAAUCUAAAGAAGCAGACUAGCGUCUGCCGGGGCUU
Molecule: transfer RNA, 67 nt
Filed under: Ocyurus chrysurus
Lineage: Eukaryota; Metazoa; Chordata; Actinopteri; Lutjaniformes; Lutjanidae
Also listed under: 1 other name
Description: tRNA-Cys
Source: RNAcentral